GAACGGGUGAGUAACACGUGGGUGAUCUGCCCUGCACUUUGGGAUAAGCCUGGGAAACUGGGUCUAAUACCGAAUAGGACCACGCGCUUCAUGGUGUGUGGUGGAAAGCUUUUGCGGUGUGGGAUGGGCCCGCGGCCUAUCAGCUUGUUGGUGGGGUAAUGGCCUACCAAGGCGACGACGGGUAGCCGGCCUGAGAGGGUGACCGGCCACACUGGGACUGAGAUACGGCCCAGACUCCUACGGGAGGCAGCAGUGGGGAAUAUUGCACAAUGGGCGCAAGCCUGAUGCAGCGACGCCGCGUGAGGGAUGACGGCCUUCGGGUUGUAAACCUCUUUCAAUAGGGACGAAGCGCGAGUGACGGUACCUAUAGAAGAAGCACCGGCCAACUACGUGCCAGCAGCCGCGGUAAUACGUAGGGUGCGAGCGUUGUCCGGAAUUACUGGGCGUAAAGAGCUCGUAGGUGGUUUGUCGCGUUGUUCGUGAAAACUCACAGCUUAACUGUGGGCGUGCGGGCGAUACGGGCAGACUAGAGUACUGCAGGGGAGACUGGAAUUCCUGGUGUAGCGGUGGAAUGCGCAGAUAUCAGGAGGAACACCGGUGGCGAAGGCGGGUCUCUGGGCAGUAACUGACACUGAGGAGCGAAAGCGUGGGGAGCGAACAGGAUUAGAUACCCUGGUAGUCCACGCCGUAAACGGUGGGUACUAGGUGUGGGUUCCUUCCUUGGGAUCCGUGCCGUAGCUAACGCAUUAAGUACCCCGCCUGGGGAGUACGGCCGCAAGGCUAAAACUCAAAGGAAUUGACGGGGGCCCGCACAAGC
Molecule: ribosomal RNA, 817 nt
Filed under: uncultured bacterium
Lineage: Bacteria
Description: bacterial SSU rRNA
Rfam family: Bacterial small subunit ribosomal RNA
Source: RNAcentral